Molecule: ribosomal RNA, 883 nt
Filed under: Neodolichodorus sp.
Lineage: Eukaryota; Metazoa; Nematoda; Chromadorea; Rhabditida; Dolichodoridae
Description: SSU rRNA
Rfam family: Eukaryotic small subunit ribosomal RNA
Source: RNAcentral
UACUUGAUCUUGACACUAUCCUACUUGGAUAACUGUGGUAAUUCUAGAGCUAAUACAUGCAUUAAAGCUCUGACCUCACGGGAAGAGUGCACUUAUUAGACCAAAACCAAGCGGCUUCGGCUGUUUCUGGUUGACUCAUAGUAAUUGAGCUGAUCGCACGGUCUUGCACCGGCGACGUGUCUUUCAAGUAUCUGCCGUAUCAACUUUCGAUGGUAGUGUAUCUGACUACCAUGGUGAUCACGCGUAACGGAGAAUAAGGGUUCGACUCCGGAGAGUUCGCCUGAGAAAUCGCGAACACAUCUAAGGAAGGCAGCAGGCGCGAAAAUUACCCACUCUCAGCACGAGGAGGUAGUGACGAAAAAUAACGAGACCGUUCUUUUAUGAGGCCGGUCAUCGGAAUGGGUACAAUUUAAACCCUUUAACGAGUAUCUAUGAGAGGGCAAGUCUGGUGCCAGCAGCCGCGGUAAUUCCAGCUCUCAAAGUGCAUAGAAUUAUUGCUGCGGUUAAAAAGCUCGUAGUUGGAUCUGUGCCAUAGGACGGGGUCUACCUUCGGGUACGCACUUCGCUCCUAGGCUUUUUGCUGGUUUUCCCGUCGUAGCCUUCCCUGGUUGCGGCGGGUGGCUGGCGAGUUUACUUUGAGAAAAUCAGAGUGCUCAACACAGGCGUAUAGCUUGAAUGAUUGUGCAUGGAAUAAUAGAAAAGGAUUUCGGUCCUCUUUUAUUGGUUUUGUGGACUGAGAUAAUGGUUAACAGGGACAAACGGGGGCAUUCGUAUCGCUGCGUGAGAGGUGAAAUUCUUGGACCGUAGCGAGACGCCCUACUGCGAAAGCAUUUGCCAAGAAUGUCUUCAUUAAUCAAGAACGAAAGUCAGAGGUUCGAAGGCG